CCUACGGGCGGCUGCAGUGGGGAAUAUUGGACAAUGGGCGAAAGCCUGAUCCAGCCAUGCCGCGUGUGUGAAGAAGGCCUUCGGGUUGUAAAGCACUUUCAGUGGGGAAGAAAGCCUUGGGGCUAAUACCCUCGAGGAAGGACAUCACCCACAGAAGAAGCACCGGCUAACUCCGUGCCAGCAGCCGCGGUAAUACGGAGGGUGCGAGCGUUAAUCGGAAUUACUGGGCGUAAAGCGCGCGUAGGCGGUCUGAUAAGCCGGUUGGGAAAGCCCCGGGCUCAACCUGGGAACGGCAUCCGGAACUGUCAGGCUAGAGUGCAGGAGAGGAAGGUAGAAUUCCCGGUGUAGCGGUGAAAUGCGUAGAGAUCGGGAGGAAUACCAGUGGCGAAGGCGGCCUUCUGGACUGACACUGACGCUGAGGUGCGAAAGCGUGGGUAGCAAACAGGAUUAGAUACCCCAGUAGUC
RNAcentral lists this ribosomal RNA (465 nucleotides) under Vreelandella stevensii. RNAcentral describes it as "partial 16S ribosomal RNA". It matches the Rfam family "Bacterial small subunit ribosomal RNA", at positions 338 to 795 of the family's 1533-position model. The record is from RNAcentral. Lineage: Bacteria; Pseudomonadati; Pseudomonadota; Gammaproteobacteria; Oceanospirillales; Halomonadaceae.